This 254-nucleotide ribosomal RNA is filed under the name uncultured bacterium. RNAcentral describes it as "partial 16S ribosomal RNA". It matches the Rfam family "Bacterial small subunit ribosomal RNA", at positions 524 to 776 of the family's 1533-position model. The record is from RNAcentral.
UACGUAGGGUGCGAGCGUUGUCCGGAAUUAUUGGGCGUAAAGAGCUCGUAGGCGGUGUGUCACGUCGGCCGUGAAAACCUGCAGCUUAACUGUGGGCGUGCGGUCGAUACGGGCAUCACUGGAGUUCGGCAGGGGAGACUGGAAUUCCUGGUGUAGCGGUGAAAUGCGCAGAUAUCAGGAGGAACACCGGUGGCGAAGGCGGGAUCCUGGGCCAGUACUGACGCUGAGGAGCGAAAGCGUGGGGAGCAAACAGG